This 1042-nucleotide long non-coding RNA is filed under the name Sinocyclocheilus grahami. RNAcentral's name for it is "lncRNA (ENSSGRG00000044823.1)". The record is from RNAcentral. Lineage: Eukaryota; Metazoa; Chordata; Actinopteri; Cypriniformes; Cyprinidae.
CAGAUGGCAACAUUACAAGAUGCCCAGACAGGCAUUAUGCCACAGAGCAUCGGACAGAAUGUGAACACAGUGAAUGACAAGAGGACAAAGUGUUAGUAUAUUAAAUUAUUUAUUUUUUAAAUAAGACCAAUUUUAAGUUGGAAAACAAGUUGUUUACAUGUUCAUUUAUUUACGUUCUCUGCCAGAUAGACUCUGAUAUCACAGUGAGCCAGCAAAAACCAGAACAAAUAUUGAAAGUAGGAUUUUCUCUCUUAUUUUUUAUUCUCCUGUUUACAAACAUCAUAUCAAUUAAAAAAAAAUUCAAUUUAUCAGAGAUAUUUAUCAGCAUUUUACAGUCUUACUUGCUUCUCAAAUAGGAGGACAAACCAUGUCUCGAAAUGCAUUCUGGUCCCUUACAAUACUAUCAUCAGAGAAAGGAGGAUGGAUGCGCUCAGGGUCUUCGUCUACCUUUUCCAGAACUUUGUCAUCUGAAUUUGGCCAACAAUGAGAUAGCUGAGGAAGAGGCAUUGUUGCCCGUGGCAUUGUUUCCAAAGCUCAGUGAGCUUGUUAUUCACUCAAACCCCUUGACAACACAGAGAAGUGGUAAGCUCACACAUCCUCAGGCAGGCUCAUUGUUAGUGCAUUAAAUCAACUAAAUCUGACAAAAAAUGCACAUCUUUUUGUGUUUUUCAAUACAGGCGAUCCACCAAUGCUGACCUGUUUUCUUCAAGACAAGCUGGGUAUUAAGAUAACACGCAAAAAAACAACUAAUCUCAUUAAGCGACAUAUACUCCAUAAAAGAAAGGUGAAAACCACACUUCCAAAAUUUCCUUCGAUCACGGCAAAUCAACAUGCUACAGAAACGCUCUUCUCCAAGAAAUGUACUGGACAAGAUAAUCCUCUACCCUUAGAGUAUGGGUUAACUCAUGUAUUUGGCUUCUCGUCUCAAACAAGCAUUGACGACGAGGAAGACAUUGGCAUAGGCCAGGAGCAUUUUGACUUGACAAGUGCAGACAUAUUCUUUGAGACGAAUCAAAAUGCAGAGCCGUUCUUUGUGACAGAG